This 279-nucleotide ribosomal RNA is filed under the name uncultured bacterium. RNAcentral describes it as "partial 16S ribosomal RNA". It matches the Rfam family "Bacterial small subunit ribosomal RNA", at positions 506 to 784 of the family's 1533-position model. The record is from RNAcentral.
UGCCAGCCGCCGCGGUAAUACAUAGGGUGCAAGCGUUAUCCGGAAUUAUUGGGCGUAAAGCGUUCGUAGGCUGUUUUUCAAGUCUAACGUUAAAUUUUGGGGCUCAACCCCAUUUCGCGUUGGAUACUGUCAAACUAGAGUUAUGUAGAGGUUAAUAGAACUCCAUGUGAAGCGGUGGAAUGCGUAGAUAUAUGGAAGAAUACCAAUUGGCGAAGGCAAUUAACUGGGCAUUAACUGACGCUGAGGGACGAAAGUGUGGGGAGCAAACAGGAUUAGAUA